GCAAAAGUUGCAGCACAGUAUGUCACCAGAGAGGAACAGAAUAUCCUUGCUGUGCCAAGAAAGAAAAGACCAUGGAUCUACUAGUUGCAGAUUUCAGCAGUAAUGCCAAGGGGGCGAGAAGUGACCAGCAGAACAAUUAGGCCAUGGCAACAGAAGCCAACUACAACCCAUGUUCCAAUCUAUGACCUCCCUCUCCUGCUGGUACAAGGAUAUGGGCAAGAGCUGAUAAUCAACUGACUAAUGAGGAUUGACUUCUACAAUUGAUGAGCAUGGAAUUGGAUGUGCCUAAAUCAACAGAAGAGGGAUUUUGAUGUCAUCACACUGUAGCCCCAGAAGACAGAACGCUCAAAGGUGUCAAUGGGCAGAAUUUGUAGAUGACAUACAGCAUCCAAUGGAUUACUCCUAUUCAGUAUUCCUUAGAGCAAAGGAUGCAAUGUCAAGCAAGUUGUGAUACCUCAACUAUCUACAAUUUAACACCAAGGAAAGAACACUGUUUGGAGAAAUGAGAAAGAUUAUCAUCAGUGUCUUUCAGAAGUCAUCAAAGGAAGAAAAGGAGAAAAGAGAGGAGAAAGCAGAAAGAUCUGGAGUCUGGGAAGUUCAAGAGCAUGGCACCAGCAUCUGGCAAGGGCUUUCAUGCUGCAUCAUCUCAUGGAGGAAAAUAAAAGGGCAAGUGAGUGUGAGAGAGCAAGAGAGCAAGAAAAGGAAAGGGGGUCAAACUCACCCUUUUAUCACAAAAACACUCUAUCGAUAACAGCAUUGAUCCAUUCAUGAGGGAAGACCCCUCAUGACCUAGUCACCUCUUAAAGGUCCAACCUUUCAACACUGGUUGCAUUGGGGAUUAAGUUUCAACACAUGCUUUUUGGGUGGCAUAAUUAAACCAUAACACACUUGUUAUUAGGUCAGGAGAUUUCCCAAGGUCAGAACAGUGACAGAGCUAAGCCCUGAACUUUUGUGACCUUCAAACCAGGAUUGUUUCCACAAUUUGUCAUACAUGGAUAUUUAGAACAUGCUUUAGAAGUGGAGGAAAGAAUAAAAUAAUUUGAAGAUGGAGUACUCAAAAGCUGCGCCAGACAAGUCCAUUGAAACUGUCCUUCACCUAAAUUUGAAUUAAAAAAAUUGUUUUGGCAUUGUGUGAUUUGGUAA
Long non-coding RNA from Gorilla gorilla gorilla (western lowland gorilla), 1143 nucleotides. RefSeq lists it as uncharacterized. The transcript has 4 exons. The record is from RefSeq and is a predicted model, not a curated record. Lineage: Eukaryota; Metazoa; Chordata; Mammalia; Primates; Hominidae.